Acanthochromis polyacanthus (spiny chromis) is the source of this 1290-nucleotide long non-coding RNA. RefSeq lists it as uncharacterized. The record is from RefSeq and is a predicted model, not a curated record. Lineage: Eukaryota; Metazoa; Chordata; Actinopteri; Pomacentridae. The transcript has 3 exons.
UUCUAGUUUUGAGAGGGGCAGUUUUUCCAGUGUUGUGGGGAUGUUUCUGAGUCCCAUCAGUUCCCAUCGCCCGCUACAUAUUUAGGUCACGGGAUUCGGUAUGUACACAUGCAGAACACACACCUGUGUUCAGCGCAAGGUCAGGGAAUGAGCAGUCUUGGUGGAGUACUGCUCUCUAAAAGCUUUUCUUGUUUACCGACGUGACAAAUCGUGAGCGCGUGUGUGAACACGUGUGUGCCAGGAAGUGAAAUUAACUUUUUAGGCCACUGACAGAUAUGUCCAAAUGUGAUUCAUUCAAUAGAAAACUUUCAUGUUGUGCCAUAAAUCUGCCAACCACUUCAUAUUAAACCUGUUAUGGUUAUGGUCCUGCUCCUGCCCUUUGUCUCCCCUUUUCCUUCUCUUCCCCAUUAUUGCUCUUUGUGUGUGUUCUGGCUUGUGUGUCUCUGUCUCCCUCUGUCUGCCAGCCUUCCCUCUUGUCUUUCUCUCUCUCCCGGUCACUCGCCCUCUAGCUCUGCCAGCUGAUUGCCCUCAAUGGCAUCAGCUGCAGUAAUCAGUCAAUUCCACUCACCUGUUCUCUCAGCCAUUUAAGCCCUCUGCUUCCCUCUACCUGGAUCAUUGUUUGCCUUCAUCCCAUGUUGCCAUGGCCUCUGUUCCCCAGCUAUGGACUACUUUGUUUAUGGACCUUUGCUGCUUCUGCCCUUUGUGGAUUACCCCCUUUUGGACCCUGUCACUUGGAUUUCUUCAGUCAGUUUUUUGCUCCCUCGAUUUUGGGUCCUCUGUAGUAAAAACAGCUGUGAACUCGGGCGUUUUUGGCUGCAACAAUCACGAAAAACGCCUACGAAAUCCUGGAGGGACUGGUAUAUACAGCAUGUAGAGCUGCUGUUUUUCUCCAGUCAUUGUGACCUUUGUGAGUACCUGGAAAAAUGGAAGUUGUCGAUGCGUGACAAUGGUGUCGCCUUUCGAAGAAACUUAUGCCACAAAAGAAAUGCCCAACUUGUGUAAAUAUUGAUUCCAGGAUCACUGCACCCUCUUCUUCGCUGUGCUGUUUCCUAGAGAGUCGACUGUCUGUGCAAAGUUAGUGUGCUCAGUCUGAUUCUAUGUUCAGUUUUAGCUCUGCAGAUGUUUAAUGCUCUGAAUCCCUGAACAGCUCUAUUAACUUCAAUUACUGUCAGAAAGUGUGAUAACUGUAAUAAUAUAACAUGCACAUUUUAUUUUAUCUGUGCUUGCACCAGAGAAAAUUCCUUGUAAGUGUAAAAACCUACUUGGCAAUAAAAACUGAUUCUGACAAAA